Molecule: ribosomal RNA, 503 nt
Filed under: uncultured Glomus
Lineage: Eukaryota; Fungi; Glomeromycota; Glomeromycetes; Glomerales; Glomeraceae
Description: SSU rRNA
Rfam family: Eukaryotic small subunit ribosomal RNA
Source: RNAcentral
AGCAGCCGCGGUAAUUCCAGCUCCAAUAGCGUAUAUUAAAGUUGUUGCAGUUAAAAAGCUCGUAGUUGAAUUUCGGGAUCAAUUAAUUGGUCGUGCCUCUGGUACGUACUGAUUUUAUUGGUUUCUCCCUUCUGACGAACCAUGAUGUCAUUAAUUUGGUGUCGUGGAGAAUCAGGACUGUUACUUUGAAAAAAUUAGAGUGUUUAAAGCAAGCUAACGCUUGAAUACAUUAGCAUGGAAUAAUGAAAUAGGACGUUUGAUCCUAUUUUGUUGGUUUCUAGGAUCGACGUAAUGAUUAAUAGGGAUAGUUGGGGGCAUUAGUAUUCAAUUGUCAGAGGUGAAAUUCUUGGAUUUAUUGAAGACUAACUACUGCGAAAGCAUUUGCCAAGGAUGUUUUCAUUAAUCAAGAACGAAAGUUAGGGGAUCGAAGACGAUCAGAUACCGUCGUAGUCUUAACCAUAAGCUAUGCCGACUAGGGAUCGGAUGAUGUUAAUUUUUAAUGA